Odontomachus brunneus is the source of this 2009-nucleotide long non-coding RNA. RefSeq lists it as uncharacterized. The transcript is spliced from 2 exons. The record is from RefSeq and is a predicted model, not a curated record. NCBI's taxonomy places the organism in Eukaryota, Metazoa, Arthropoda, Insecta, Hymenoptera, Formicidae.
CACUGAACGUCUAAUGAUACACGAACUGGUUGAGUCACACAAUUAUAUACGCCAUAUGAUAAAAACAAUGAGUCAUAUGAGCGAAGCUAUCGAUAAAACGGGCCGAAUCCGAACGUGUCAACUUUUAGCCACACAACUAGUACGUCUAUACGCAAUCACUUUACGGCGCAGUUUAUUAUCGAGCGAGGUGCGAGCACGGCUCGGACAGCGCGGAGGCAUACAUUCGCGACUGGCGAACGGAUUCCAUAAUGAGAUGCUGCGUGGUAAACUGGGACAUCUAAUUAUACUCGAGGGCCCGCCACUCGCGCAACCAACGUUGAGCCGUCCCUGGAGCGAUCCUACUCUCUCCUAGAGACGUGGUGAAGCAUCCCUGUCGCUUUUUAAGGAUCCCUACCAAGUUAUAGUGUGCGCUUUCGCACUGCGAAGAAAGAACGACGAGAAAGAAUUGCGUGCGUAUGUGUUGGGAUAAAUAGGGAACAGUGCCGUCAGAACGAACCGAGUAUUUCUAUGCCAGAAUACUCUGGCAGACCCAAAACUCGCCGCUACUACUCGGGCGCACAGGUUUUAAGGGGAUAUUACAACUCCAGAUAGCUCAUAAACGGCCACAUGUGCUCGGGCGUAUGUUACGCUUUUCCAGUCCCGCUACUAUAUUACGUACCGGUAAUAAUCGAGCUGUUCUAACGUGGAACGUAUUACAGCCCGGACGCAACAUAUUGCUAGCGUUUUAUACCGAUAAUACACGACCAUUCGUUGAUAACGCAAGAAUCGCAGCGAUUCCGAGCUUUUACUUCUAUUUAAAUAGCACGUUUAACGAGUCAUGCGAUAAAAUCAGAUUACACGAAAUCUAUAUUGCUCAAUUAAAGAGAGGAGUUUACUUAUCGUAAAGAUAAGAAGUCCCCGAGAAUAAUUUAACGACAAUUAAAUAAGUGGAAGACCAAAUGAUCAUUACGUAAGAUAUCUUAAGGGAAAAUUUAAUCAACCCAACUUAAGACAUUAACAGAACGCCAUUUAACUCUCGCGUAAUGUUCUUACUGUUGCUUGUUGUUCUUUCGCUUCAUGGUAAAUUAAUUUUCGAUUUAAACAAGUGUUCGAAUAAAUUCUCGUUCGAUAAUUCUGAACAAUUCCGCUCCCAAAACAGCAGCUUAAGCAGUAGCUCCCCAAGAGAGAUCUAAAGGUACAUUAGCGAGUUGUCCGUGUAAAUGAUGUAUAUUUGUUUUGUUAAUCUCACGCUACACACAUAGCUUUAUCGGGAACAUUUACAGUACAAAUGAAUGAACAUUCUAUGCUUUUUGCUUCGAAAUUAUAGUUUAAACUCCUUGAUUAUUUUCUAUUUAAAAUUUAUCAUAACCUCGACAUUUUCACAUUCUGAUUUUCGUUGGAAUUGGGUUAUCUAAAUGUCCCCAAGAAUUCGUCGUUAAAAGGACAUUCGAUGGUUUUGCAGUAUUCUGCAUAAGAACGACAUUUAAGCUGGAUAUUACGCGGAAAUAAUUUGGCUGCGACAAAACGAUUUGGCUUGCGUUCGUGCUGCAAUUUUUGGGGGGAAUGGGAUUAAACGAAACGGGAGAGACAAAAGCCUUUCAACUGGUCGUCAGCAGUUCAAAGUGGCGUAAGAUUAUUUAUGGCUGCUUUUACGACCGCUUAUAAAAUCAUUUCUCCUUCGCUCUCUCUUCAAAUAAAUUGAAUGCAGAGACGUCAAUUUCAUAUAAUUCGUAAAGUUAUGAAUACUACAUUAUUUUCUGAAAAUAAUGGCAAAUGCGUGUUGCAGUCCGUUCAAUUAUAUCUACAUAAGGAUCAAGUAUCACAAGACUUUUACGUUUGUAUACCGUUAGAAUUGUGAAAUUUAUUGCACUCGACGUGUUUGCGCAAAAGUAUUCGAAAACCUGUACUUGAUUUGAAUCCGUCUACGUAGCGCAGAAAAUGUUACCGCCAAGGUAAUAUCAUACAUUAUUCAGUUUUGUUUAAUAAACCACAGUCGUAGGUUCCUGAAUAAAGCACAGUCUUAGGAUAAA